This 516-nucleotide ribosomal RNA is filed under the name uncultured bacterium. RNAcentral describes it as "partial 16S ribosomal RNA". The record is from RNAcentral.
ACCAGACGAUGCGGUUACCGCGGCUGCUGGCACGGAGUUAGCCGGUGCUUCUUCUGUGAGUGAUGUCCUUCCUGCCGGCUAUUAACCCGCAGGCCUUCUUCCUCACUGAAAGUGCUUUACAACCCGAAGGCCUUCUUCACACACGCGCAUGGCUGGAUCAGGGUUGCCCCCAUUGUCCAAUAUUCCCCACUGCUGCCUCCCGUAGGAGUCUGGGCCGUGUCUCAGUCCCAGUGUGGCUGAUCAUCCUCUCAGACCAGCUACGGAUCGUCGCCUUGGUGAGCCGUUACCUCACCAACCAGCUAAUCCGACAUAGGCUCAUCCGAUAGCGCGAGGCCCGAAGGUCCCCCGCUUUCCCCCGUAGGGCGUAUGCGGUAUUAGCCUGGGUUUCCCCAGGUUAUCCCCACUACCGGGCAGAUUCCUAUGCAUUACUCACCCGUCCGCCGCUCGCCACCAGGGAGCAAGCUCCCCGUGCUGCCGCUCGACUUGCAUGUGUUAGGCCUGCCGCCAGCGUUCAAU